CAACAGGGCAUUGCCUUAGUAACGGCGAGUGAAGCGGCAAAAGCUCAAAUUUGAAAUCUGGCACCUUCGGUGUCCGAGUUGUAAUUUGAAGAAGGUAACUUUGGAGUUGGCUCUUGUCUAUGUUCCUUGGAACAGGACGUCACAGAGGGUGAGAAUCCCGUGCGAUGAGAUGCCCAAUUCUAUGUAAAGUGCUUUCGAAGAGUCGAGUUGUUUGGGAAUGCAGCUCUAAGUGGGUGGUAAAUUCCAUCUAAAGCUAAAUAUUGGCGAGAGACCGAUAGCGAACAAGUACAGUGAUGGAAAGAUGAAAAGAACUUUGAAAAGAGAGUGAAAAAGUACGUGAAAUUGUUGAAAGGGAAGGGCUUGAGAUCAGACUUGGUAUUUUGCGAUCCUUUCCUUUUUGGUUGGGUUCUCCGCAGCUUACUGGGCCAGCAUCGGUUUGGACGGUAGGAUAAUGAUUAAGGAAUGUGGCUCUGCUU
This 476-nucleotide ribosomal RNA is filed under the name Debaryomyces maramus. RNAcentral describes it as "LSU rRNA". It matches the Rfam family "Eukaryotic large subunit ribosomal RNA", at positions 66 to 546 of the family's 3401-position model. The record is from RNAcentral. Lineage: Eukaryota; Fungi; Ascomycota; Pichiomycetes; Serinales; Debaryomycetaceae.